GUGCUUCCUUCAGCAGCAUAUAUACUAAAAAUUGGAAUGACACAGAGAUUAGCAUGGCUCCUGAGCAAGGAUGAUAUGCAAAUUCAUGAAGCAUUCCACUUUUUA
Non-coding RNA from Myotis brandtii (Brandt's bat), 105 nucleotides. The record is from Rfam. NCBI's taxonomy places the organism in Eukaryota, Metazoa, Chordata, Mammalia, Chiroptera, Vespertilionidae.